RNAcentral lists this ribosomal RNA (570 nucleotides) under Candida neerlandica. Its description in RNAcentral is "eukaryotic LSU rRNA". It matches the Rfam family "Eukaryotic large subunit ribosomal RNA", at positions 62 to 648 of the family's 3401-position model. Lineage: Eukaryota; Fungi; Ascomycota; Pichiomycetes; Serinales; Debaryomycetaceae. The record is from RNAcentral.
AAACCAACAGGGAUUGCCUUAGUAGCGGCGAGUGAAGCGGCAAAAGCUCAAAUUUGAAAUCUGGCUCUUUCAGAGUCCGAGUUGUAAUUUGAAGAAGGUAUCUUUGGGCCUGGCUCUUGUCUAUGUUUCUUGGAACAGAACGUCACAGAGGGUGAGAAUCCCGUGCGAUGAGAUGAUCCAGGUCUAUGUAAAGUUCCUUCGAAGAGUCGAGUUGUUUGGGAAUGCAGCUCUAAGUGGGUGGUAAAUUCCAUCUAAAGCUAAAUAUUGGCGAGAGACCGAUAGCGAACAAGUACAGUGAUGGAAAGAUGAAAAGAACUUUGAAAAGAGAGUGAAAAAGUACGUGAAAUUGUUGAAAGGGAAGGGCUUGAGAUCAGACUUGGUAUUUUGUAUGUUACUUCUUCGGGGGUGGCCUCUACAGUUUACCGGGCCAGCAUCAGUUUGGGCGGUAGGAGAAUCGCUUGGGAACGUGGCACGACCUCGGUUGUGUGUUAUAGCCCUUGUGGAUACUGCCAGCCUAGACUGAGGACUGCGAUUUAUAUCUAGGAUGUUGGCAUAAUGAUCUUAAGUCGC